ACGGGAGGCAGCAGUGAGGAAUAUUGGUCAAUGGACGAGAGUCUGAACCAGCCAAGUCGCGUGAAGGAUGAAGGUUCUAUGGAUUGUAAACUUCUUUUAUUCGAGGGUAAAGUGACGGACGUGUCCGUUAUUGCAAGUAUCGAAUGAAUAAGCAUCGGCUAACUCCGUGCCAGCAGCCGCGGUAAUACGGAGGAUGCGAGCGUUAUCCGGAUUUAUUGGGUUUAAAGGGUGCGUAGGCGGGCGAUUAAGUCAGCGGUGAAAGCGUGUGGCUCAACCAUACCAAGCCGUUGAAACUGGUUGUCUUGAGUGUAAACGAGGUAGGCGGAAUGUGACGUGUAGCGGUGAAAUGCUUAGAUAUGUCACAGAACCCCGAUUGCGAAGGCAGCUUACCAGCAUACAACUGACGCUGAGGCACGAAAGUGUGGGGAUCAAACAGGAUUAGAUACCCUGGUA
RNAcentral lists this ribosomal RNA (453 nucleotides) under uncultured Porphyromonadaceae bacterium. RNAcentral describes it as "partial 16S ribosomal RNA". It matches the Rfam family "Bacterial small subunit ribosomal RNA", at positions 341 to 792 of the family's 1533-position model. Lineage: Bacteria; Pseudomonadati; Bacteroidota; Bacteroidia; Bacteroidales; Porphyromonadaceae. The record is from RNAcentral.